GACGAACGCUGGCGGCGUGCCUAAUACAUGCAAGUCGAACGCUUCUUUCCUCCCGAGUGCUUGCACUCAAUUGGAAAGAGGAGUGGCGGACGGGUGAGUAACACGUGGGUAACCUACCCAUCAGAGGGGGAUAACACUUGGAAACAGGUGCUAAUACCGCAUAACAGUUUAUGCCGCAUGGCAUAAGAGUGAAAGGCGCUUUCGGGUGUCGCUGAUGGAUGGACCCGCGGUGCAUUAGCUAGUUGGUGAGGUAAGGGCUCACCAAGGCCACGAUGCAUAGCCGACCUGAGAGGGUGAUCGGCCACACUGGGACUGAGACACGGCCCAGACUCCUACGGGAGGCAGCAGUAGGGAAUCUUCGGCAAUGGACGAAAGUCUGACCGAGCAACGCCGCGUGAGUGAAGAAGGUUUUCGGAUCGUAAAACUCUGUUGUUAGAGAAGAACAAAGGCGUAAGUAACUAAGCACCCCCUGACGGUAUCUAACCAGAAAGCCACGGCUAACUACGUG
This 508-nucleotide ribosomal RNA is filed under the name uncultured bacterium. RNAcentral's name for it is "partial 16S ribosomal RNA". It matches the Rfam family "Bacterial small subunit ribosomal RNA", at positions 28 to 507 of the family's 1533-position model. The record is from RNAcentral.